RNAcentral lists this transfer RNA (75 nucleotides) under Chloroflexota bacterium. RNAcentral describes it as "Chloroflexi bacterium (groundwater metagenome) tRNA-His". It matches the Rfam family "tRNA". Rfam says of the family: Transfer RNA (tRNA) molecules are approximately 80 nucleotides in length. Their secondary structure includes four short double-helical elements and three loops (D, anti-codon, and T loops). Lineage: Bacteria; Bacillati; Chloroflexota. The record is from RNAcentral.
GUGGGCGUAGCUCAACGGCAGAGCGCUUGACUGUGGAUCAAGAGGCUGCGGGUUCGAGACCCGCCGUCCACCCCA